AACUUGCAACAACGUGUCUCUUGGUUCUGGCAUCGAUUAAGAACGCAGCGAAAUGCGAUAAGUAAUGUGAAUUGCAGAAUUCAGUGAAUCAUCGAAUCUUUGAACGCACAUUGCGCCCUCUGGUAUUCCGGGGGGCAUGCCUGUUCGAGCGUCAUUACAACCCUCAAGCUCUGCUUGGUAUUAAGCUUCACCUGUACAGGCGGGCUUUAAAAUCAGUGGCGGUGCCAUUUGGCUUCAAGCGUAGUAAUUUUCUCGCUUUGGAUAACCGGAUGUGUGCUUGCCAGCAACCCCAAUUUAAUCAAAGGUUGACCUCGGAUCAGGUAGGGAUACCCGCUGAACUUAAGCAUAUCAAUAAGCGGAGGCU
RNAcentral lists this unclassified non-coding RNA (364 nucleotides) under uncultured Ascomycota. Its description in RNAcentral is "sequence contains ITS2". The stretch from base 1 to 154 matches the Rfam family "5.8S ribosomal RNA". The record is from RNAcentral. Lineage: Eukaryota; Fungi; Ascomycota.